Non-coding RNA from Chytriomyces sp. MP71, 82 nucleotides. The record is from the annotation of a GenBank genome assembly. Lineage: Eukaryota; Fungi; Chytridiomycota; Chytridiomycetes; Chytridiales; Chytriomycetaceae.
GACAACGUGGCCGAGUGGUUAAGGCAGCAGACUCAAAAUCUGCUAUCCUCUGGAUGUGCAGGGUCAUAUCCUGCCAUUGUUG